Molecule: ribosomal RNA, 249 nt
Filed under: uncultured bacterium
Lineage: Bacteria
Description: partial 16S ribosomal RNA
Rfam family: Bacterial small subunit ribosomal RNA
Source: RNAcentral
GCAAGUCGAGGGGUAACAGGUAGCUUGCUAUGCUGACGACCGGCGAACGGGUGCGUAACGCGUAUAGAAUCUGCCUUGUACAGGAGGAUAGCCUUUAGAAAUGAAGAUUAACACUCCAUAGUGCUGAGAGGUGGCAUCACUUUUUAGUUAAACAUUUAUGGGUACAAGAUGACUAUGCGUCCUAUUAGCUAGAUGGUAAGGUAACGGCUUACCAUGGCAACGAUAGGUAGGGGGUCUGAGAGGAUUAUC